Molecule: long non-coding RNA, 407 nt
Organism: Folsomia candida
Lineage: Eukaryota; Metazoa; Arthropoda; Collembola; Entomobryomorpha; Isotomidae
Exons: 2
Source: RefSeq, a predicted model, not a curated record
AGUAUGCAUACACAUUCAUCACUGGCCUACUAUACUGGCUGGAGGGAGAGAUAAUCUGUCAGAUUUAUAGAGUUCUCUUUUAAUAAUAAAUGAGAUUUAUUCAGGCCAAGGACAUUUACAUACUCGACUGCAUGUGUAGAUCGCGAUCGCACAUUUCUCAUUUCAAUCACGAUGACGGGAUGAGGAACAAUAAAUCUACCUGACGUGUCAAGAAAGAUACUAAAACUCGUGUCAAUGGGAAAUUAAAUCUGGAUAAUUCAUUCGAUUCUGCUGGAUACUUUCCUCAAUCUAGUGAAGCAUAUAAAAAACGGACAAUUUAUAAUCAUUGGUCUAAAAACUUGACCUUGACCGCUGUCAAUGUGUACUUUCUUCUUGUAGAUAAUAAAACCUCCGUAUACAAACACAGA